GCCUACGGGAGGCAGCAGUGGGGGAUAUUGCACAAUGGGGGGAACCCUGAUGCAGCGACGCCGCGUGGGUGAAGAAACGCCUCGGCGCGUAAAGCCCUGUCAGCAGGGAAUAGAAAAGAAGGUACCUGAAAAAGAAGCCCCGGCUAACUACGUGCCAGCAGCCGCGGUAAUACGUAGGGGGCAAGCGUUAUCCGGAUUUACUGGGUGUAAAGGGAGCGUAGACGGAAAGGCAAGUCAGGAGUGAAAGCCCAAGGCUCAACCAUGGGACUGCUUUUGAAACUGUCAAACUAGAGUACGGCAGAGGU
RNAcentral lists this ribosomal RNA (305 nucleotides) under uncultured bacterium. Its description in RNAcentral is "bacterial SSU rRNA". It matches the Rfam family "Bacterial small subunit ribosomal RNA", at positions 337 to 658 of the family's 1533-position model. The record is from RNAcentral.